Long non-coding RNA from Aplysia californica (California sea hare), 232 nucleotides. RefSeq lists it as uncharacterized. The record is from RefSeq and is a predicted model, not a curated record. NCBI's taxonomy places the organism in Eukaryota, Metazoa, Mollusca, Gastropoda, Aplysiida, Aplysiidae. The transcript has 2 exons.
CCAACGGGAAAACUGAAGAGCGUCAGUCAUUACUAUGGUGAUGUUUACAAAAUGGCGACCGAAAUGGAAGAACGCAAUGAAUCAGGCGCGGAUUCUCAUCGUACAUCCCUCCUCGAAGUUAUUGAGGAUCGCAACAGGGCCAUGAACAAGAAAUACCUUGUUCAUCGCCUUGUGUACGUCUCAAAGAUUCGGGGCUCCAAUGUGGACAGAAACGCCAUAAGUGGUAAGUUUG